GACGUAGGGCGCGAGCGUUGUCCGGAUUUAUUGGGCGUAAAGAGCUCGUAGGCGGCUUGUUGCGUCAGCUGUGAAAACCCGCAGCUCAACUGUGGGCUUGCAGCCGAUACGGGCAGGCUUGAGUUCGGUAGGGGAGACUGGAAUUCCUGGUGUAGCGGUGAAAUGCGCAGAUAUCAGGAGGAACACCGGUGGCGAAGGCGGCAUCCUGGACCGGUAUUGACGCUGAGGAGCGAAAGCCAGGGGAGCAAACGGG
This 253-nucleotide ribosomal RNA is filed under the name uncultured bacterium. Its description in RNAcentral is "partial 16S ribosomal RNA". It matches the Rfam family "Bacterial small subunit ribosomal RNA", at positions 524 to 776 of the family's 1533-position model. The record is from RNAcentral.